Molecule: small nuclear RNA, 140 nt
Filed under: Thrips palmi
Lineage: Eukaryota; Metazoa; Arthropoda; Insecta; Thysanoptera; Thripidae
Description: U4 spliceosomal RNA
Rfam family: U4 spliceosomal RNA
About the family: U4 small nuclear RNA (U4 snRNA) is a component of the major U2-dependent spliceosome. The structure of U4 snRNA from yeast and human has been reported.
Source: Rfam by way of RNAcentral
GACUUUGCGCAGCGGCGAUAUCGUAACCAAUGAGGUUUAUCCGAGGUGCGAUUAUUGCUAGUUGAAAACUUAUACCAAUACCCCGCCGGGAGGACUUGAAAUACAGUCCCCCUGGCAAUUUUUGAGAGCCUCUACGGAGG